GAUGAACGCUGGCGGCGUGCCUAAUACAUGCAAGUAGAACGCUGAAGGAAGGAGCUUGCUCUUUCCGGAUGAGUUGCGAACGGGUGAGUAACGCGUAGGUAACCUGCCUGGUAGCGGGGGAUAACUAUUGGAAACGAUAGCUAAUACCGCAUAACAGUAGAUGUUGCAUGAUAUCUACUUAAAAGGUGCAAUUGCACCACUACCAGAUGGACCUGCGUUGUAUUAGCUAGUUGGUGAGGUAACGGCUCACCAAGGCGACGAUACAUAGCCGACCUGAGAGGGUGAUCGGCCACACUGGGACUGAGACACGGCCCAGACUCCUACGGGAGGCAGCAGUAGGGAAUCUUCGGCAAUGGACGGAAGUCUGACCGAGCAACGCCGCGUGAGUGAAGAAGGUUUUCGGAUCGUAAAGCUCUGUUGUAUGAGAAGAACGAGUGUGAGAGUGGAAAGUUCACACUGUGACGGUAUCUUACCAGAAAGGGACGGCUAACUACGU
This 496-nucleotide ribosomal RNA is filed under the name uncultured bacterium. Its description in RNAcentral is "partial 16S ribosomal RNA". It matches the Rfam family "Bacterial small subunit ribosomal RNA", at positions 28 to 506 of the family's 1533-position model. The record is from RNAcentral.